Molecule: long non-coding RNA, 1346 nt
Filed under: Homo sapiens (human)
Lineage: Eukaryota; Metazoa; Chordata; Mammalia; Primates; Hominidae
Description: HSALNT0336415
Source: RNAcentral
CGUCACUGAAGCGGCCGGGGCGCCGCCAUUCCCGCCCCCAGCCCUGGACCGGGAGUGCCCCGCUUCCCCCUAAGGCCCCUGUGGCCAUCGAGACCCCACCCCCGCCGUUGUGGGGAGGGAGGCGCGGGUGGAUGCCCAGAAGAGAGCCCCACGAACGAGGAAAUGGGCACCGCUGCCUGGAGACCCCCCGAAAACACAACUGUAGCCCCCAAGUACGGCAAUGGCCUCCCAGCCAUUCAGCAAGUGCCCUAAAGACGAAGUCCGAAACGUAGCAAGCAAAGGCUAACCAUGCCAGCCCUCGCUUUAUCGGGGGCUUGGGGGAAAAAAGGUGCCAGGGACUAGUUGACACAGCAAACGCCCUUUGGAAGAAGGCACAGAGCCAGAGCUGGUGGUUCGCGCCUACGUUUCACAUCCCUCUUUCGCCCUAAAUACAUAAAGGCCUCUUCAAAAUACCAGGAAUUCCCAGGGGGAUCACAGCACUCGAGCCAGGAGCGCCCGCGCGGGGCCCUCCGAGCUCCUGCGCCCACCCAGGCCUUUGGCACCGGCAGGGGGCGCUGUGCCUCCACCGCGCCGCGUUGGGCGCAGGCAGGCGAGGAGGGGCGGAGUCGCCGGGCCACCCCGCCCUGCCCAGCCGGGCCCUGCCCGCAGGCCGAGGCGCCCCCGAGCCCGGAUCGCGCAGCCCAACAGUCCGCAAACAAAGCUCAGGUGGUUUCCUGGCCUGCCGGUCGGGCUGAAACCAACAAGGCAGGGGGAAACCCAUUAUUUCUGAGGUCUCGCCUCUGCUUCCACGCCCACCUUCCCCUGCGAUUCUGCGAAGCCUGGGCGCGCCUCGGCGGCUCAUUUUGCAUUUUUAACGGGUUUAAAGCCUCUUGGCAGACCUCGCUUUCCCCAGUAGGUUAGAGCAGGCGAAGCGACACGAUCUCUUCUCUAGGAAAAGAGGCGUGGUGGGUGCCCAGUGUUUGCGAAGCAGCCACCCAUGGCCGACCUCUCGGGUCCACCCAAUCGUGGCUAUCUGCCUGGGUCCGGGCAGCGCCGGGCGGCCCCUCGCGGGUGGUCGAGGCGCCACGCACAAGAACAAUCCCGACCGAAAGGCACGAACCGCCUCUUUUUGACCAUCUGGAAAGGUUCUUAAAGGACCCACCGAGUGUUCCCACCCCACAGAUACCAUUUAAAAAUCAAAUGGAUGUGUAAUUCCACAGACAGCUACGAAUAAAGAUUUAGGACAGUGGGAAAGCCUCAUCAAAAGACUAGAAUCCAGCCACACUCCUCUCCACGAAUGAGCCUUGGGAGCCACCAGGAGGGAAGGAGAGAAAGACACGAAAUAAAUGACCACAACCACAGGUAGA